CUCAUGACCUUCCACGUACGAGGGUCCCGCCCGCAUGAACUUCCGCGUACGAGGGUCCCGCCCUCAUGACCUUCCGCGUACGAGGGUCCCGCCCUCAUGAACUUCCGCGUACGAGGGUUCCCGCCCUCAUGGCCUUCCGCGUACCAGGGUCCCGCCCUCAUGGCCUUCCGCGUACGAGGGUCAGGCCCUCAUGACCUUCCGCGUACGAGGGUUACGCCCUCAUGACCUUCCGCGUACGAGGGUUACGCCCUCAUGACCUUCCGCGUACGAGGGUUACGCCCUCAUGACCUUCCGCGUACGAGGGUUCUGCCCUCAUGACCUUUUCACCUUCCGGAGGUCCUGCCUCCUAGCCCCAUCACCUUGCGGGUGAGGAUUUCAACAGAUGAAUAUGGCGGUGGGGGGGUGUAAACAUUCCGAUCGCAGCAGCCACCCACGUAUCACCUUGGUCUGGGGUGUAGCAGGCAUUGCCAGGGCUCAGCCAAAGCCGGGCUCCAGCUGCUCGUGGAGAUAACAAAGGCUUCUGUGGCCUCAUCUACUUCAUUGUGACGAGGUCGAGGCUGUAAGGGGCCAAGUGGAUGAUUUAGCUCAACAGCUAAAUGAUGUUCUGGGAGAAAGGGACUGAGGCUGCCGUGGACAGUGGUCAUCUCGGGCUUCGAAGUAUCUAUUCCAGCUUCCUAAGGGCUCACCCUUGUCCUGGGGUGAAAUGAUCCUCCCACCACGCCCACAGCCCACGGUGGAGGGGUCAUUCCUGGCACCUCCUCCCGCAAUUGGAUUACAAGGGUUCCCAGGCCGAGUCCACUCCGCGGCUGCGUGAGAGGUGGGAUGCGGGCAGAGCUCAGCCGCCCGCACCCGCUCUCCCAGGGCCCUUAGUGUUGAGCAGCAGUGGGAGAACCGUAAGGCUGGCUGGAGACGUCAAUGUGAAGUCAACGUCUAAUGGACCCGAGUUCAGCCAAGAACACACACCAGUUGUUCCAGGGAAGAAUCUCAUGGUGAAGCACUAGUGAGCGUCCAAGCAACUCCCAGCCUAACCUCACCGGUCUGACUGUGGGGCUGCUUCUGCCACGGCUCCUGGCUGGCGAUGGGGCUGUCAGCGUGUCAGCCAACCAUGCAUUGCAGAUGCACUUUGAAGAAAAUUAAUGUACCUGGGUACUUAUGGGACUCCCUGAAUGAGUGGGUAUAAUUGAAAUAGCCGGGACAUCAAAAAGCUGGAACACUGGGAGCCUGGCCCUAGGGUGGCGGAGGCCACAACGGAGCCCCCAGCCGGUUGGAAAGAGGCUUCCUAUGCUCUCCUUUCCAUGCCACUGCGGAAGUGCUAGGGAACAGGAAGACCAGGGCAUUGCCAAGUGAAUAAUAACAACCAUGUGUGCGGCGUUCACGAUACCCCAGGCUCAGUGAGCCUUUUACUCAGGGUCUCAUGUGAUGCUGAAAACAAUCCCAUGAAGUUUAGAAGCCUGUGCACACGAAGAGACGUGGUGUUUCCCUAUUGAUCCAAACUGCAUGCUGACCUGUUCCUGCCAGGGCUGCGCUCCUCCUGCUUUGCCCUGGCUCUCCCGUUCUGCACUCCCUCUUCUACCGGGAAUUCCUGGAAGCACCUUUUAUUCACAGUGCCUGCUUUGAAUAGAUACAAAUACAAUUUGUAUCUUAUGUAGUCCAUUCCACACAAUUGAAAAUAUAAUGUAAUAAAAAUCAGAAAAGUAAAUCCAGGAAAGUCUCUAACACAUAUUAGGGCCUCAAUAAAUGGACCCUAAGAGGGUGGGGAAAUGGCUUUGGUUUUUAACUGUGCUUCUUUUGAGCUUGAUGCUGUUAACUUAGUACAAUCUAUCAAUAAAUAUCGUCAUCAAGAAAAUAUUAAAGGUGUACCUGAGUCACAGGGGAGGAGGUGCAGGGCUUCUGAGAAAAUGUCCUUCAGUCACCAGCCGGUGAACAAUGGGACUCGUUAUUGUCCCCUCACCCUGCAUACCACCAGGGGGCACUGAUGAGCUGAGAAAGACUCUGUGGUCCAAAAAC
RNAcentral lists this long non-coding RNA (2007 nucleotides) under Homo sapiens (human). RNAcentral describes it as "HSALNT0324849". Lineage: Eukaryota; Metazoa; Chordata; Mammalia; Primates; Hominidae. The record is from RNAcentral.